This 434-nucleotide ribosomal RNA is filed under the name uncultured bacterium. RNAcentral describes it as "bacterial SSU rRNA". It matches the Rfam family "Bacterial small subunit ribosomal RNA", at positions 29 to 507 of the family's 1533-position model. The record is from RNAcentral.
AACGAACGCUGGCGGCAGGCCUAACACAUGCAAGUCGAGCGGGGGAGCAAUCCCUAGCGGCGGACGGGUUAGUAACGCGUGGGAACGUGCCCAAAGGUACGGAAUAGCCUCGGGAAACUGAGAGUAAUACCGUAUGUGCCCCUCGGGGGAAAGAUUUAUCGCCUUUGGAUCGGCCCGCGUUGGAUUAGGUAGUUGGUGGGGUAAUGGCCCACCAAGCCGACGAUCCAUAGCUGGUUUGAGAGGAUGAUCAGCAACACUGGGACUGAGACACGGCCCAGACUCCUACGGGAGGCAGCAGUGGGGAAUCUUAGACAAUGGGGGAAACCCUGAUCUAGCCAUGCCGCGUGAGCGGUGAAGGCCUUAGGGUUGUAAAGCUCUUUCAGAUGGGAAGAUAAUGACGGUACCAUCCAGAAGAAGCCCCGGCUAACUCCGUG